This 797-nucleotide ribosomal RNA is filed under the name uncultured bacterium. RNAcentral's name for it is "bacterial SSU rRNA". It matches the Rfam family "Bacterial small subunit ribosomal RNA", at positions 63 to 824 of the family's 1533-position model. The record is from RNAcentral.
CGAACGAACUCUGGUAUUGAUUGGUGCUUGCAUCAUGAUUUACAUUUGACGCGUUUGGCGAACUGGUGAGUAACACGUGGGAAACCUGCCCACCAGAGGGGGAUAACACCUGGAAACAGAUGCUAAUACCGCAUAACAACUUGGACCGCAUGGUCCGAGUUUGAAAGAUGGCUUCGGCUAUCACUUUUGGAUGGUCCCGCGGCGUAUUAGCUAGAUGGUGAGGUAACGGCUCACCAUGGCAAUGAUACGUAGCCGACCUGAGAGGGUAAUCGGCCACAUUGGGACUGAGACACGGCCCAAACUCCUACGGGAGGCAGCAGUAGGGAAUCUUCCACAAUGGACGAAAGUCUGAUGGAGCAACGCCGCGUGAGUGAAGAAGGGUUUCGGCUCGUAAAACCCUGUUGUUAAAGAAGAACAUAUCUGAGAGUAACUGUCCAGGUAUUGACGGUAUUUAACCAGAAAGCCACGGCUAACUACGUGCCAGCAGCCGCGGUAAUACGUAGGUGGCAAGCGUUGUCCGGAUUUAUUGGGCGUAAAGCGAGCGCAGGCGGUUUUUUAAGUCUGAUGUGAAAGCCUUCGGCUCAACCGAAGAAGUGCAUCGGAAACUGGGAAACUUGAGUGCAGAAGAGGACAGUGGAACUCCAUGUGUAGCGGUGAAAUGCGUAGAUAUAUGGAAGAACACCAGUGGCGAAGGCGGCUGUCUGGUCUGUAACUGACGCUGAGGCUCGAAAGUAUGGGUAGCAAACAGGAUUAGAUACCCUGGUAGUCCAUACCGUAAACGAUGAAUGCUAAGUGUU